Molecule: ribosomal RNA, 468 nt
Filed under: uncultured bacterium
Lineage: Bacteria
Description: partial 16S ribosomal RNA
Rfam family: Bacterial small subunit ribosomal RNA
Source: RNAcentral
GACGAACGCUGGCGGCGUGCUUAACACAUGCAAGUCGAACGGAAAGGCCCUGCUUUUGUGGGGUGCUCGAGUGGCGAACGGGUGGGUAACACGUGAGUAACCUGCCCUUGACUUUGGGAUAACUUCAGGAAACUGGGGCUAAUACCGGAUAGGAGCUCCUGCUGCAUGGUGGGGGUGGGAUAGUUUCGGUGGUUGGGGAUGGACUCGCGGCUUAUCGGCUUGUUGGUGGGGUAGUGGCUUACCAGGGCUUUGACGGGUAGCCGACCUGGGAGGGGGACCGGCCACAUUGGGACUGAGAUACGGCCCAGACUCCUACGGGAGGCAGCAGUGGGGAAUAUUGCACAAUGGGCGGAAGCCUGAUGCAGCAACGCCGCGUGCGGGAUGACGGCCUUCGGGUUGUAAACCGCUGUCGCCUGUGACGAAGCGUGAGUGACGGUAAUGGGUAAAGAAGCACCGGCUAACUACGUG